RNAcentral lists this ribosomal RNA (495 nucleotides) under uncultured bacterium. RNAcentral's name for it is "partial 16S ribosomal RNA". It matches the Rfam family "Bacterial small subunit ribosomal RNA", at positions 28 to 505 of the family's 1533-position model. The record is from RNAcentral.
GAUGAACGCUGGCGGCGUGCCUAAUACAUGCAAGUCGAGCGAACAGACGAGGAGCUUGCUCCUCUGACGUUAGCGGCGGACGGGUGAGUAACACGUGGAUAACCUACCUAUAAGACUGGGAUAACUUCGGGAAACCGGAGCUAAUACCGGAUAAUAUAUUGAACCGCAUGGUUCAAUAGUGAAAGACGGUUUUGCUGUCACUUAUAGAUGGAUCCUCGCCGCAUUAGCUAGUUGGUAAGGUAACGGCUUACCAAGGCAACGAUGCGUAGCCGACCUGAGAGGGUGAUCGGCCACACUGGAACUGAGACACGGUCCAGACUCCUACGGGAGGCAGCAGUAGGGAAUCUGCCGCAAUGGGCGAAAGCUUGACGGAGCAACGCCGCGUGAGUGAUGAAGGUCUUCGGAUCGUAAAACUCUGUUAUUAGGGAAGAACAAAUGUGUAAGUAACUAUGCACGUCUUGACGGUACCUAAUCAGAAAGCCACGGCUAACUACG